UACGUAGGUGACAAGCGUUGUCCGGAUUUACUGGGCGUAAAGAGCGCGCAGGCGGUCGUUCAAGUCGAGUGUGAAAGCCCCCGGCUCAACUGGGGAGGGUCAUUCGAUACUGAUCGACUCGAAGGCAGGAGAGGGUAGUGGAAUUCCCGGUGUAGUGGUGAAAUGCGUAGAUAUCGGGAGGAACACCAGUGGCGAAGGCGGUUGCCUGGGGCUUUGCUGACGCUGAUGCGCGAAAGCGUGGGGAGCGAGUCCGG
This 254-nucleotide ribosomal RNA is filed under the name uncultured bacterium. Its description in RNAcentral is "partial 16S ribosomal RNA". It matches the Rfam family "Bacterial small subunit ribosomal RNA", at positions 524 to 777 of the family's 1533-position model. The record is from RNAcentral.